UGAUCAGAUUUUUAUCAAUACAUUCUGGCACAACCGGCCCUUUAAGAGCAUUCAUGAUCCUGAUUUGACCCAAAACAAAGAUGAGUUUGACAUCCUUGUUCUAGAGAGAGAG
This is a long non-coding RNA of Poecilia latipinna (sailfin molly), 112 nucleotides long. RefSeq lists it as uncharacterized. The record is from RefSeq and is a predicted model, not a curated record. Lineage: Eukaryota; Metazoa; Chordata; Actinopteri; Cyprinodontiformes; Poeciliidae. The transcript is spliced from 3 exons.